CUGUGUGCUGGAGAACAGGGCUUCUGUCUCGUCAACGAUGGGGGCACUGUGAAGCUGGACAGGAGACAUGCCUACUACCAUCAAAUACAGGCUCAGCUCCACCUCGUUGAUGUUGACUACUGCGACUUUGUUGUCUGGACUAAAAAUGACCUCUUUGUAGAGAGAAUUGUGCGUGAUGUGGACCUGUGGGACAACAUCAUUCCCAGAGUUGAGCGUUUCUUCAGACUAUGUGUUCUCCCUGAAGUGUUGGGACAGCAACUUACAAGGGGAAAGUUUCAGUUGCAAGAUGAUCAGGAGGGAGAGAAGGCGUGAUUACCAGCACCUGUGGUCAGUCCUGGUCCCGGAAGUUGUGGUUCUCUCCUUGUUGCAUUAUUAUUACGUGCCGUAGUGGGUGCUGGUGUUUGGGUGUGUGUGGGUGUCUUUUUCUCUCUCCCUCUGAUCUCCCCAGGUGCUCCCAAUCUCCAAUCAGCGCCUCCAUAUAGGACAUGAGGAAGGUUGCAGUCGCUCUCCCCUUAUCUUAAGCUUUGUUUGACAAGUUGGCUGGUGAGCCCUUUUUCGUUGUGUUAAUUAAAAGACCACUUUAUGGCGUCAGAGAUCA
Long non-coding RNA from Gymnodraco acuticeps, 598 nucleotides. RefSeq lists it as uncharacterized. The record is from RefSeq and is a predicted model, not a curated record. NCBI's taxonomy places the organism in Eukaryota, Metazoa, Chordata, Actinopteri, Perciformes, Bathydraconidae. The transcript is spliced from 2 exons.